Mytilus californianus (California mussel) is the source of this 1412-nucleotide long non-coding RNA. RefSeq lists it as uncharacterized. The record is from RefSeq and is a predicted model, not a curated record. Lineage: Eukaryota; Metazoa; Mollusca; Bivalvia; Mytilida; Mytilidae. The transcript has 2 exons.
CUAACCGUGUAUUUAGAUUUUUAAUUUUGGGUCCAGUUUUCAAAUUGGUCUACAUUAAGGUCCAAAGGGUCCAAAAUUAAACUUUGUUUGAUUUUAACAAAAAUUGAGUAUAUGGGGUUCUUUGAUAUGCUGAAUCUAAACAUGUAUUUAGAUUUUAGAUUUUUGGCCCAGUUUUCAAGUUGGUCCAAGUUGGGGUCCAAAAUUAAACUUUGUUUGAUUUCAACAAAAAUUGAAUAUAUGGGGUUCUUUGAUAUGCUGAAUCUAAACAUGUAUUUAGAUUUUAGAUUUUUGGCCCAGUUUUCAAGUUGGUCCAAAUUGGGGUCCAAAAUUAAACUUUGUUUGAUUUCAACAAAAAUUGAAUUAUUGGGGUUCUUUGAUAUGCCAAAUCUAACCGUGUUUUUAGAUUUUUAAUUUUGGGUCCCAUUUUUUAAAUUGGUCUACAUUAAGGUCCAAAGGGUCCAAAAUUAAACUUAGUUUGAUUUUAACAAAAAUUGAAUUCUUGGGGUUCUUUGAUAUGCUGAAUCUAAACAUGUGUUUAGAUUUUUGAUUAUGGGCCCAGUUUUCAAGUUGGUCCAAGUUGGGGUCCAAAAUUAAACUUUGUUUGAUUUCAACAAAAAUUGAAUAUAUGGGGAUCUUUGAUAUGCUGAAUCUUAACAUGUAUUUAGAUUUUAGAUUUUUGGCCCAGUUUUCAAGUUGGUCCAAAUUGGGGUCCAAAAUUAAACUUUGUUUGAUUUCAACAAAAAUUGAAUAUAUGGGGUUCUUUGAUAUGCUGAAUCUUACCAUGUAUUUAGAUUUUUUAUUUGUGGGCCCGCUAUCAAAUUGGUUCAUAUUGAGGUCAAAAGGGUCCAAAAUUAGACUUUGUUUGAUUUCAUCAAAAAUUGAAUUAUUGGGGUUCUUUGAUAUGCCAAAUCUAACCGUGUUUUUAGAUUUUUAAUUUUGGGUCCCAUUUUUUAAAUUGGUCUACAUAAAGGUCCAAAGGGUCCAAAAUUAAAUUUUGUUUGAUUUUAACAAAAAUUGAAUUCUUGGGGUACUUUGAUAUGCUGAAUCUAAACAUGUGUUUAGAUUUUUGAUUAUAGGACCAGUUUUCAAGUUUGUCCAAGUUGGGGUCCAAAAUUAAACUUUGUUUGAUUUCAACAAAAAUUGAAUAUAUGGGGUUCUUUGAUAUGCUGAAUCUAACCAUGUAUUUUGAUUUUGGACAUUGGUCCAUAAUAGGUAAAUUAAAAAAAUUGAAGUUCUUAGACCACAUUCUUUCUGUAUCAGAAACCUAUGCUGUGUCAAAUAUUUAAUCACAAUCCAAAUUCAGAGCUGUAUCAAGCUUGAAUGUUGUGUCCAUACUUGCCCCAACUGUUCAGGGUUCGACCUCUGCGGUCGUAUCAAGCUGCGCCCAGCGAAGCAUUUUAUUUAAAAUUGGU